RNAcentral lists this long non-coding RNA (342 nucleotides) under Nicotiana benthamiana. RNAcentral's name for it is "long non-coding RNA (NBEN_LNC039946)". The record is from RNAcentral. Lineage: Eukaryota; Viridiplantae; Streptophyta; Magnoliopsida; Solanales; Solanaceae.
UGGCCAGCACAUAUGAUUUGAUUAAAGUUUGUUAUAUGAGAGUUAUACAGCAUCCAUUACUGCCUAUAACAGUAGUAACUAAACAGAUUAACCCAUUUCUAAACCAAGAGCCAAUGGAUAACAACACUUUUGGACGAAAAAUACUCGCCAAAACAGGUAUACAAGAUUUCAUGCUUUGUAAAUCUGGGGAAAAUUUGUUAGACACUUUCAGAACGUAGUAAUAUUAGGAUGCACAUAUAUUACUAUUUAGUUGAUAUUAAAAAGAAAAUCUACUAAAGGGAGGUUUGGCGUAAGUGGUUAAGUUGUUGUCACGUGACCAGGAAGUCACACGAUCAAGCCGUG